RNAcentral lists this non-coding RNA (27 nucleotides) under Trypanosoma brucei brucei. The record is from RNAcentral. Lineage: Eukaryota; Euglenozoa; Kinetoplastea; Trypanosomatida; Trypanosomatidae.
AUUUAGACUGAGGGUAAUUAAAUCCCU